RNAcentral lists this transfer RNA (70 nucleotides) under Solea solea (common sole). RNAcentral describes it as "tRNA-Tyr". It matches the Rfam family "tRNA". From Rfam's summary of the family: Transfer RNA (tRNA) molecules are approximately 80 nucleotides in length. Lineage: Eukaryota; Metazoa; Chordata; Actinopteri; Pleuronectiformes; Soleidae. The record is from RNAcentral.
GGUAGGGUGGCUGAGUUUUAAGUGGUGGAUUGUAGUCCCAUAAACAGAGGUUUAAUUCCUCUUCCUAUCA